GCUAUGCCCGAUCUCGUCUGAUCUCGGAAGCUAAGCAGGUUUGGGCCUGGUUAGUACUUGGAUGGGAGACCGCCUGGGAAUACCAGGUGCUGUAAGCUU
RNAcentral lists this ribosomal RNA (99 nucleotides) under Carassius gibelio (silver crucian carp). The record is from RNAcentral. RNAcentral also lists the same sequence under 9 other names. Lineage: Eukaryota; Metazoa; Chordata; Actinopteri; Cypriniformes; Cyprinidae.